GUAUCUUCGGAUAUGAGUAGAGCGGCGGACGGGUGAGUAACGCGUAGGAAUCUACCUAGUAGAAGGGGAUAGCCCGGGGAAACCCGGAUUAAUACCGUAUACCUCCUUUGGGAGAAAGAAGGCCUCUCUUUGAAGCUUUCGCUACUAGAUGAGCCUGCGUAAGAUUAGCUUGUUGGUGAGGUAAAGGCUCACCAAGGCGACGAUCUUUAGCUGGUCUGAGAGGACGAUCAGCCACAUUGGGACUGAGACACGGCCCAGACUCCUACGGGAGGCAGCAGUGGGGAAUAUUGGACAAUGGGCGCAAGCCUGAUCCAGCCAUACCGCGUGUGUGAAGAAGGCCUUCGGGUUGUAAAGCACUUUAAGCAGGGAGAAAAAGUUAUAAGUUAAUACCUUAUAACCCUGAUGUUACCUGCAGAAUAAGCACCGGCUAAUUCCGUGCCAGCAGCCGCGGUAAUACGGAAGGUGCAAGCGUUAAUCGGAAUUACUGGGCGUAAAGCGCGCGUAGGUGGUUUGUUAAGUUGGAUGUGAAAGCCCUGGGCUCAACCUAGGAACUGCAUCCAAAACUAACUCACUAGAGUACGAUAGAGGGAGGUAGAAUUCAUAGUGUAGCGGUGGAAUGCGUAGAUAUUAUGAAGAAUACCAGUGGCGAAGGCGGCCUCCUGGAUCUGUACUGACACUGAGGUGCGAAAGCGUGGGUAGCGAACAGGAUUAGAUACCCUGGUAGUCCACGCCGUAAACGAUGACAACUAGCUGUUGGGAGACAAUGUCUUUCAGUGGCGCAGCUAACG
This 788-nucleotide ribosomal RNA is filed under the name gamma proteobacterium SCGC AAA158-E10. Its description in RNAcentral is "bacterial SSU rRNA". It matches the Rfam family "Bacterial small subunit ribosomal RNA", at positions 74 to 857 of the family's 1533-position model. Lineage: Bacteria; Pseudomonadati; Pseudomonadota; Gammaproteobacteria. The record is from RNAcentral.